This 444-nucleotide ribosomal RNA is filed under the name Micromonospora saelicesensis. RNAcentral's name for it is "bacterial SSU rRNA". It matches the Rfam family "Bacterial small subunit ribosomal RNA", at positions 1 to 456 of the family's 1533-position model. Lineage: Bacteria; Bacillati; Actinomycetota; Actinomycetes; Micromonosporales; Micromonosporaceae. The record is from RNAcentral.
UAGAGUUUGAUCAUGGCUCAGGACGAACGCUGGCGGCGUGCUUAACACAUGCAAGUCGAGCGGAAAGGCCCUUCGGGGUACUCGAGCGGCGAACGGGUGAGUAACACGUGAGCAACCUGCCCCAAGCUUUGGGAUAACCCUCGGAAACGGGGGCUAAUACCGAAUAGGACUUCUGGCCGCAUGGCUGGUGGUGGAAAGUUUUUCGGCUUGGGAUGGGCUCGCGGCCUAUCAGCUUGUUGGUGGGGUGAUGGCCUACCAAGGCGACGACGGGUAGCCGGCCUGAGAGGGCGACCGGCCACACUGGGACUGAGACACGGCCCAGACUCCUACGGGAGGCAGCAGUGGGGAAUAUUGCACAAUGGGCGGAAGCCUGAUGCAGCGACGCCGCGUGAGGGAUGACGGCCUUCGGGUUGUAAACCUCUUUCAGCAGGGACGAAGCGAGAG